AUAGCAUAACGGCCAAAUCCCGAGGCAUUCGGGAACGGAGGACCCACUUUUUAUUGGGGUUAAUUCUACUAGAUGUAGAAGGGAUGAGUAACUCUUUCGCCAUCCUACCCGUCAGCUAACUUCGUCGGCUAAAGCGAAGGAGGUC
Molecule: small RNA, 145 nt
Filed under: Brevibacillus laterosporus
Lineage: Bacteria; Bacillati; Bacillota; Bacilli; Caryophanales; Paenibacillaceae
Also listed under: 1 other name
Description: c-di-AMP sequence
Rfam family: c-di-AMP riboswitch aptamer (ydaO/yuaA leader)
About the family: This family represents a conserved RNA structure found upstream of the ydaO and yuaA genes in Bacillus subtilis and related genes in other bacteria. The ydaO/yuaA element is thought to act as a genetic "off" switch for the ydaO and yuaA genes in its native state.
Source: RNAcentral